This 896-nucleotide ribosomal RNA is filed under the name uncultured Thermoplasmatales archaeon. Its description in RNAcentral is "bacterial SSU rRNA". It matches the Rfam family "Archaeal small subunit ribosomal RNA", at positions 21 to 922 of the family's 1478-position model. Lineage: Archaea; Methanobacteriati; Thermoplasmatota; Thermoplasmata; Thermoplasmatales. The record is from RNAcentral.
AGGUCACUGCUAUUGGGAUUCGACUAAGCCAUGCGAGUCGAGAGGGUUCGGCCCUCGGCAGACUGCUCAGUAACACGUGGAUAAUCUGCCCUUAGGUGGAGGAUAAUUUCGGGAAACUGAGAAUAAUACUCCAUAGGUCUAGGAGGCUGGAAUGCCCCUAGGCUUAAAACUCCGGUGCCUAAGGAUGAGUCUGCGGACUAUCAGGUUGUAGUCAGGGUAAUGACCUGACUAGCCUACGACGGAUACGGGUUGUGAGAGCAAUAACCCGGAGACGAUAUCUGAGACACGAUAUCGGGCCCUACGGGGCGCAGCAGGCGCGAAACCUUCACAAUGUGCGAAAGCGCGAUGAGGGGAUCCCAAGUGCUUGCUCUUAGGAGUAAGCUGUUUCUUUGUUUAAAAUGCAGAGAGAGGAAGGGCUGGGUAAGACGGGUGCCAGCCGCCGCGGUAAUACCUGCAGCUCAAGUGGUGACCAUUAUUAUUGGGCCUAAAACGUUCGUAGCCUGCUAAGUAAAUGCCUGGGUAAAUCGUGCCGCUCAACGGUACGAAUUCCGGGUAGACUGCUUAGCUUGAGACCGGGAGAAGCUAGAGGUACUCCUGGGGUAGGGGUGAAAUCCUGUAAUCCUGGGGGGACCACCAGUGGCGAAGGCGUCUAGCUAGAACGGGUCUGACGGUGAGGAACGAAACCCUGGGGCGCAAACCGGAUUAGAUACCCGGGUAGUCCAGGGCGCAAACGCUGCUUGCUUGAUGUUAGCUGGGCUUCGAGCUCAACUAGUGUCGGAGUGAAGAUGUUAAGCAAGCUGCCUGGGAAGUACGAUCGCAAGAUUGAAACUUAAAGGAAUUGGCGGGGGAGCACAGCAACGGGUGGAGCGUGCGGUUUAAUUGGAUUCAACGCCGGG